RNA transcript from Drosophila miranda, 4295 nucleotides. RefSeq lists it as uncharacterized. The transcript has 17 exons. The record is from RefSeq and is a predicted model, not a curated record. NCBI's taxonomy places the organism in Eukaryota, Metazoa, Arthropoda, Insecta, Diptera, Drosophilidae.
AAAUAGCGGCGGCAAAAGUUGUACGGUAGCGUUCUGAAGAACACGAAAAUAAAGAAACAAAAACAACACUAAAAUCAUCAAGUCAAGUGUAUUCGUGUUUCAUUUUACGUGCCUUUGUAAAAUUCAUCACAGCUCUAAUCGCCUCCCCGACGCCUAUAACCCUUGGGCAUCCAAAGGAGCAACGAAAUAAAGUGAUAAAAGCAUCCAAGGAUCUGUCCCGCUUUGCCGUCACGCAAAGAGUGCCUUAAAUAAGAACGAAAGAGAUUACAAAACGGCGUUAUUACUAAACGAAAAUAAUCGUCAACGUUUUGGUUAAUUUGCCCCAUUUAUGGGAAAUUGGCAGUGCAAAGGUUCUGGCUAGGAAUACUUACGCCACCCUCCGCCGGAGUGCUAACGUGGCCUUUGGCAUUAGCUGAUUGGUGGUGGCCCGGACCAAAUCGAUGACUAUAUCUGUUCGUUCGAGGGACUUGGUGACUUAACAAUGGACUCCCUAGCCAUCUUCAUCUUUCUGUGGGCCGUGCUGGCCCUCUUCUCCGUCUGGCUAUGCAAGCUGCUCUACCGCAAGUAUCUCAACAAGGAGAAGACGCCCAGUGCCGCCAACAGUCGCCAGAGCAGCGUGGCCCCCGGGGCGGCCGCCCUGGCCCUCGGCGGCUCCUCCAAACCGGAGAAGCGACUCUCCGAGCCCAGGGACAUGCUGGCCACCAAGAGCAAAGUCGAGGAUCUCUCCAAGCCUCUGACUGGCGCCUCGGCUGGCCGUGGUCGCUCUUCGGCCUCGCCCCUAAGCGGUGGUGCCGCUGGCGCCGCCGGACCGCGUCGCCGCGUGGUGCGCCAGAGCUCCACGGGGCCGGAGAAUCGCAAGAAGCGCUAUGUUCCACCGCCCUCCAAUGUGGUGGGACCCGAAACGAGCUCUGUCACGUGGACCAGCCAAGUGUUCCGCUGGCUGUACAGCGAUCUAGUCAUUGUCAACGAGCUGCUCAUGUCCUGGGUGAUAGCCAUCAACGACUCGCUCCGCAAGUCUGUGGAGGAGCAUGGAGUGGCCGUGGAAGUGGUCCGAGUGCUGCCCGAUAGCCCUGCUCCGGGCCUGAACAACAUAUUCUGCAACUGCGAUGAGACUAAUCCUGCGGACAUGCUCAUCACGUUCGACUGCGACGCCAUGCCGGUGCUGCAGGUGAAGACCUUCCGCCAGAAGUCGGGCAAGGUGGAGACCUCCCACUACAAGGUGACCGUGUCGCGAUUCCGCGCCCGCAUGGCCAUCCCCAUGAACUACAACAGUCUCAAGGGCGAGAUGCGUGUCGAGGGCUAUCCUGAUGUGCGCAUUGCGAUGAACAGCGUGGGGGCCAUCAAGGCCAUGGACCAGGACGAACAGCAGCUCCAGACGGUCAUCAGCGACAUCCUGACGACGGCCCUGCGCGAGACCGUCUACCCCGUGGACUUCUCCAUCUACUCCACCUGCCCGCGGGCCGAGGUGGAGCCCCUGGAUCUGCCCGUAAUCUAUCCCGUUCACUAUGACUCCCUGGCGCACAACAUGGAGCACCAUCUGGGAGGCGUGGGUCUGCGGGACUCGCAGCACAUGGUGUCCGGCAGGCGGCUGCUGGUGAAGAUCGUCAAGGGCGAGGGCCUGAGGGACGCCCACGACCCCUAUGUGGUCAUCGAGAUGGACGAGCCGGCCCAGAAGAACCAGACGGGCACCCAGCGCGGCAGCAGACCCUACUGGGAUGAGCACUUCCUCUUUGAACUCUCCCCGCAGUCUGCAGAGAUACUCUUCGAGGUGUACGACCAUCCAGUGAUCGCCUCGGAUCCGCCCAAGUUCCUCGGACUCGGCCUGGUCGGCAUCGACGAGCUGGCCGUGGGUCCAGCCUCCACCCAGCUGCUGCAGCUCCAGCCACGCCCCUACGAAACCCAGCCCGUGGCCGGGGCCAUCACCGUGGACUUUGUGUUCAUCGAGGGAGUCGGGAUCCCGGCGGGCGCCCGUCCACAACGCCUCAAGGAGGCCCUGCGCCUCAGCACGCCGGCCAUCAAUGAACACAUCCGCAACGGAGCGGACCUGGCCGACGCCGCGGUCCGCGCUCUGCAGGACGGCGCCCUCUCCGCCACCGGAAACGGGGGCCAGCCCAGCAAGAGCACCCUCAUCAUCCACAGCGUCCAGCGGAACUCGGGCAAUCCGAAUGCAUUUAAGGUCGAAUUGAACAAGGAUGGCCGCAUCUUUGAAUCGCCCACAGAGCUGGACCAGGCCGUGGCCCAGGCCUUCGAGCGGGCCGCCAGCGAGGCAGCGGCCGCCAAGGCCGAGCAGCUCCAGCUGGAGCUCGAGCUGGACCCCGGCACGGAGGUCCAGCCGCUGGCCAGCGGCGGCGGUAGCGGCGAGCCGCACAACGAAACAGGUAACGGUAGUGGUACCGCCAACGAGGACAGUACCGCGGAGUUCGGGCAGCCCAAUGCAGCCUCCUCGCCCAUCGGCAGCGGCUAUCACAACAACAACAACCUCAAUGGGAGCAGUGGGCUAGCCGGAAAUGGCAGUGGCAAUGGCAACGGAAACGGCAGCUCCAACAUCAAUGGCGGGGGCUACAGCAUGAACAGCCUGCCGCGGAACGGGGCCCAUCUGGGGCAUCUGCAGGCGGAUGAGGGCAUGGACGUGCUGGACGACCGCGGGCGCAGCAAAAAACGUAAUUUCUUUGGCACCCUGAAGAAGCGGCUCAGCCGCUCCAAGACACGCACCCUCUCGGCAGAUCAGCCCAAUAGCAAUCACAAAUCACUAUCAGCCACCAACUCGAACUACGCCAAUACUACAACAACAUCGACAGGACUACCCCGAACCGCCACCGGAACCCUCAAUGGUGAUUCUUCCCGUUCAUUAUCUGUCGAUCGUGCCACUCUGUCCAAAAGCAAUUCACUUGGACCCCGCAUGGGCAUUGGCUCCGCCAUCACCGACCAUUCACGACGCUCUUCAAUUUCAGAAUCCUCGGCCAUCUCAGGUUUCUCCUCGGCCAGCAAUAAGACCUACGUACACGAGGCCUCCACCUUGGUCCUGGAGACCAGCGAGAACGGCGUGAAGAGCCACUUUAUUGUGCCUUUGGCCAUUGCCCAGAGACCGCGCUGGCGCCGCAAGGGCACCAAGCUGCACAUCUACAACGCUCACACCUUCAUAGCCAAGCAUUUGAGCGGAAGCGGCUUGCAGUGCUCGAUCUGCAUGAAGUCCAUACCUCGGAGGCCGGGCAAGCAGGGAUACGAGUGCCGCGACUGCCAGCUGAUCUGUCACAAGCAGUGUCACAUACGGGCGCCCCAGGCCUGUCCCAAUCCCACGGUGCUCUCCAUGGAACUAAACUCCUAUCCGGUACUCACAGAGAGAGAUCUGAACCUAGUUAUCUAAAGCAUUAUCUAUUUGUCUACCAAAACUAUCUAAAUACUCGUAAUUCUUCUUUUGUAAAAUCCGCCAAAUGCAGUUGAAUAUUUACCACGAGCAAUGGCAAUUUUUGAUUUACUUUAACCGUGGAAUUGGCCUCGGCAGAGCGUUAAAAGCUCUGUUUAAAUUUUGCUUGAUUUAUGUACUAUUUUGGUUCGGCUUCUGCUGACUGCUAACCAUCCAGAACGAUCAUCAGAUCAUCCCAUAUCCGAUACUUAUUCAUCCAUCAAGCUUCGCCACGCUAUAAAUUCAAUUCAGUUCCUUCUGUUGUCUUCUGUUUCGACACUAAUCCGAGCUCUUCUCUCAUCGCACCACUCGACCGCCACACAACCACCUACUCGCACCACCACCACACGGACACAGGAUGGCCAGUGAGCAGUAGGCUUAAGUGCAGCAAAAUCAACUUAAAACUUAACCAUAUUCAAACUAGUUUGAGGGCGGCAGCGGCCGACAUUUAAGAAAACAAAAAAAUUCUCCUUCUUCUGAAAACUCCUCCAUCCGUCCUUCGAAACAGCCUCAGUUCUAGAUUCGUUCGGCUUUGGGAGAGAGUUCGAGAGUUAUCCACUCCUUAGGCGGAACCAACAUUAGCUCGGCUGCGGCGGAUCGGAGUAUACGGAAACUGUAAAGGAGCCCCCAAUCCAUCGUCCAUCCCAGCUCCGACGCCGGGUACACUUAAUCGAAUUACUAUGCUUAGAAGGAGGAACACCGGGACACUUCGGCUAUUGAAAUCUUUGAUACAUUAUGUUAUUUAUUUAUACACACACACACACACCCACGUGCAAUAAGUUCUUUGGUUUCGUUUUUAACCUUUCUCUGUGUCAACAAGUAGACCCCUUUGAGAUUUUUUUUUUUGUAUUUUCUACAAACACGAAUAAUAAUUGUACAAAAUAAGAGCGAA